GGGGAAUAUUGGGCAAUGGGCGCAAGCCUGACCCAGCCACGCCGCGUGAGCGAUGAAGGCCUUCGGGUUGUAAAGCUCUGUGGGGAGGGGCGAAAGGCAGAAGUGCUAAUAGUACUCUGUUUGACGGUACCUCCUUAGCAAGCACCGGCUAACUCUGUGCCAGCAGCCGCGGUAAGACAGAGGGUGCAAACGUUGCUCGGAAUUACUGGGCGUAAAGCGCGUGUAGGCGGGAAGAUAAGUCGGGUGUGAAAUCCCUGGGCUCAACCUAGGAACUGCAUCCGAAACUGCCUUUCUGGAGUGAUGGAGAGGAAAGCGGAAUUCCCGGUGUAGAGGUGAAAUUCGUAGAUAUCGGGAGGAACACCAGUGGCGAAGGCGGCUUUCUGGCCAUCAACUGACGCUGAGACGCGAAAGCGUGGGGAGCAAAC
Molecule: ribosomal RNA, 425 nt
Filed under: uncultured bacterium
Lineage: Bacteria
Description: bacterial SSU rRNA
Rfam family: Bacterial small subunit ribosomal RNA
Source: RNAcentral